GCUUUCUUCGGGCAUAUCUAGAUUACUCCCAAUGUACACUCCGUCGGGAUUCAAGAUCAAAGACGACAAGAUCCCCGGUUGGGAGUUAAGCCUGUGAGCAAAAUAUACAAGGACACGGAAUUGACGAGCGUGGGCAUCGGCGAUCUUAAGUACUAGCAAUGAAGGACGCCUUCAUUUGUUUACUUGCUUCCUCUAAGGUCAAGGGAAUGGGCGCGAUCUUAUAUGUUCCCCCUUGGGCAUGGAAAGCCAAAGCGAAAGGCAGAAGAAUUUCAGGGUUUGAAACGCGCAUCGCAAACCCUGGUGCCUGGCUGCGAUCAAAAUAAAGGACGUGGCAGGGCAGAGCAGUGCGCAGACAGAAA
RNAcentral lists this small RNA (359 nucleotides) under Histoplasma capsulatum. Its description in RNAcentral is "hypothetical RNA". The record is from RNAcentral. Lineage: Eukaryota; Fungi; Ascomycota; Eurotiomycetes; Onygenales; Ajellomycetaceae. RNAcentral also lists the same sequence under 1 other name.